GUGUGCUAGAUUUAAAAGUUUAUCACAAGUUUUGUGAAAGAUGGGUGCAAAACUCAAAAAAAUACCAUUGUUGAGCUAUUGAAAAAACUUGAAAAUUCAAUUGGAUCUUGUUAAUUUUGAAUUUUUGAACUAAACUCGUAACUCAAUUUUGAUUGACUAGAUAAGAUGCUACUUGAUAAUUUCUUCCUGUUUGUAACUCGAUCUAGAAAGGAAUAGUAAUUACA
Molecule: long non-coding RNA, 224 nt
Filed under: Nicotiana benthamiana
Lineage: Eukaryota; Viridiplantae; Streptophyta; Magnoliopsida; Solanales; Solanaceae
Description: long non-coding RNA (NBEN_LNC000707)
Source: RNAcentral